Junco hyemalis (dark-eyed junco) is the source of this 1829-nucleotide long non-coding RNA. NCBI's taxonomy places the organism in Eukaryota, Metazoa, Chordata, Aves, Passeriformes, Passerellidae. The record is from Ensembl.
AUGUCGCAGGUGCCCCCCUGGAAGCUGGCGCUGCUGGAGCGGCGCCGCCGGGAGGACGAGGCCGCGCGGCGCCGGGAGCGGGAGCAGCGCGAGCGCCAGGCCCAGGUGCCCCCCUGGAAACGGGAGCUGCUGCAGCGGCGCCGCGCCCGGGCGGGGCCCGCGGGCACACCUGGCCAGGGGGGCACACCUGGGGGCACACCUGGGCAAGGGGGAACACCUGGGGGCACACCUGGGCAAGGGGGCACAGCUGGGCUGGAGACUCUGGGGGGCACACCUGGAUCAGGGGUUAUACCUGGAUCGGGUGUUAUACCUGGCACAGGUAGCACACCUGGAUCAGGGGUUACACCUUGCACAGGGGGCACACCUGGCACAGGUGGCACACCUGGCACAGGUGGCACACCUGGAUCAGGGGGCACACCUGGAUCAGGGGUUAUACCUGGAUCGGGUGUUAUACCUGGCACAGGUGGCACACCUGGCACAGGGGUUACACCUGGAUCAGGGGGCACACCUGGAUCAGGGGUUACACCUGGCACAGGGGGCACACCUGGCACAGGGGGCACACCUGGGCAGGAAGGUUUAGGGGGCUCCCACCUGGUGCUGGCGCCAGGGAUGGAGAAAUGCGGCCCUGCCGAAAAUCCCACCUGGGACCCCCAAAACCCUCCCCAAAAUCAUCCCCAGGACUUCCAAAGUCAGCCCCAAAAUCCUUCCCAGGAUUUCCAAAAUUGUUCCCAAAAUCAUCCCCAAAAUCCCACCUGGGAUCCCCAAAAUCCUUCCCAGGAUCCCCAAAAUUCCUCCUGGGACCCCCAAAAUUCCCCAAAUCCCCAAAAUCCGCCCCGGGGCCGGGUCAGUCACCUGCGGAGCCGCUUUGUCCCCGAGCCGGGAGGGGACGAGGGGCGUGGCGGGGUCACCGUGGGGCCACCUGGGGGUCAAGGGUCAGCCAGGGACAUAGGAACGGUCAAGGGGUGUGGGGCGGUCAGUGUGGGGUCACCUGAGGGUCAAGGGUCAGCCAGGGACAUAGGAACGGUCAAAGGUCAUGGAGUGACCACUGGCCUGGGGACAGCGGAUGGACAAGGGACGGUCAAGGGGAUGGUCAAGAACUGGACAGCGGUGGAGGGCCGGAGAGGUCAGGGGUCAGUGGGGACACCGGGGACAGUGUCCGGCCAAGUGACCCCUUUGGUGACCACGCUGACCACUGCCCCUGUGACGUCAGCGGUGUCGCCAGAGGGGGGCGCUGUCCCUUUGUCCGGCGACACUGUCCAGCUGUCCAGUGGCUCUGUCCCCAAGCCCGGGGUCACUGUCCCCAAGUCCAGUGCCACUGUCCAGCUGUCCAGCAGUGUCCCCAUGUCCAGUGACUCUGUCCCCAUGUCCAGCGGUGUCCCCACGUGUGGCGCCACCACCCCAGUGUCCAGUGCCACCACCCCAGUGUCCGGUGCCACUGUCCAGGUGUCCAGUACCACUGUCCAGGUGUCCGGUGCCACUGUCCAGGUGUCCGCCCCUGUCCCCUCGGCCGUCCGGCCGGUGUCACCGCGCCGUGACCCCCGGUGUCCCCCCCCGUGUCCCCACCCCGCCCUGCAGCGCCGCAGCGGCAACACCAUCACGGUGCGGCCGCGCCGCGCCACCGGUGACCCCGCAGGUGACCCCGCAGGUGGGGCAGGUGUCCCCUCAGGUGUCCCCACCGGUGGCCCUGGGUGUGGCCCUGGGUGUGGCCCCGGGGGCGUGGCCGAGCCCCCCAAGAAGCGCUACCCCACGGCCGAGCAGAUCCAGGUGAUCGGGGGGUACCUGGCGCUGCCCCGCUCCUGCCUGGCCAAGGGAGAGCCCCGGCGCAAGAA